Podarcis lilfordi (Lilford's wall lizard) is the source of this 69-nucleotide non-coding RNA. NCBI's taxonomy places the organism in Eukaryota, Metazoa, Chordata, Lepidosauria, Squamata, Lacertidae. The record is from the annotation of a GenBank genome assembly.
GUUAGCUCAGCUGGUUGGAGCACGGUGCUGAUAACACCAAGGUUGCAGGUUCGGUUCCCGUAAGGGACA